Long non-coding RNA from Homo sapiens (human), 821 nucleotides. Ensembl annotates it as STARD13 antisense RNA. Its record names the gene STARD13-AS. The record is from Ensembl. NCBI's taxonomy places the organism in Eukaryota, Metazoa, Chordata, Mammalia, Primates, Hominidae.
GGGGGAGAAUGGGCAUCCCACCCCAGCACUUUCUAGGAAGAAGGGCAGCAUUUUGAAGGGCUGGAAGUAGAGGAAGGAGGUUGCGGGUAGAAGACUCCAUACUUUCUGUGACGCCUAUUCCUUAGCUUGUGAUGAAUGUUUUCUCAGUAUCCUAUGCUGAAAACAGGAAUCAAGGCUAUCUGUAAUCACAGGGCUAUUUGAAAAAGAGAAGAAAAGGUGUCUUGAAAUUCAACCAACAUGUUUCAAUUAUUUGCUCCUAAGAACAACAGAAGUUUCAACAUUCUGCCAACAGAGUAACUCCUGGAAGAUUGGCACAGAAGAAGGCACAAGGAGAGCCUUUAUAUAACCAAAGAUAUUUUUGGACCAUGAAUUCAGAAAUUCUCGGAGCCACCCAUCAGUGCCUGAGCUUCAGUGAGUCCAUAUCCCAUGUCACCCACGGCAAAGGAGACUCUAAGACUUCUGAAGAGUUUCUUGCUUCUUUCCUGUGGGGCAGUGACUCCACUUCCCAGCAGUAAUGGAAUAUCCUGAAUUAGCUACAUUAAUGUUAGAACCAUUUGGACCUCACCCAGGACUUCAACUACAUUAUGGUUCUAGUAUGUUACGUUUAUGUUCCCCUGCUUUCUACAAUCCUGUUCAAAGAGUUGCUGACUUAACCACAGAGAGGAUUCCAGAACCUGAGACACAGAAUAAACUUGAGCAAUCAUAGUCCAUCCACUUCAUUGUCUCAUCAAAAACCAAAGGUCCAGUGAAGCUCUGGAACUCAACGCUGUAAAGGAGCGAAGGAGCUUCUAUACAGAGCCUGGAUGCCUGUCUCCUUAUCC